Molecule: ribosomal RNA, 490 nt
Filed under: uncultured bacterium
Lineage: Bacteria
Description: partial 16S ribosomal RNA
Rfam family: Bacterial small subunit ribosomal RNA
Source: RNAcentral
AUUGAACGCUGGCGGCAGGCCUAACACAUGCAAGUCGAACGGUAACAGGAAGAAGCUUGCUUCUUUGCUGACGAGUGGCGGACGGGUGAGUAAUGUCUGGGAAACUGCCUGAUUGAGGGGGAUAACUACUGGAAACGGUAGCUAAUACCGCAUAACGUCGCAAGACCAAAGAGGGGGACCUUCGGGCCUCUUGCCAUCGGAUGUGCCCAGAUGGGAUUAGCUAGUAGGUGGGGUAACGGCUCACCUAGGCGACGAUCCCUAGCUGGUCUGAGAGGAUGACCAGCCACACUGGAACUGAGACACGGUCCAGACUCCUACGGGAGGCAGCAGUGGGGAAUAUUGCACAAUGGGCGCAAGCCUGAUGCAGCCAUGCCGCGUGUAUGAAGAAGGCCUUCGGGUUGCAAAGUACUUUCAGCGGGGAGGAAGGGAGUAAAGUUAAUACCUUUGCUCAUUGACGUUACCCGCAGAAGAAGCACCGGCUAACCCCGUG